CCCCCGGCUGACCACGCCUUGACCACUUCUGUCGUAGGUGCUCCAGACCCUUCUGCCUGCCCCACGCUCCUGUCAUCUGCCCUGCCCAUGCAUCAGCCACUGGGGCUUCACUUCCUAAGCCAGCCUAAUUUUUUCCAUACUUGGGGUCUUUGCAUAAAGAUGUCGUCGUUGGUUCCCUCCCCAGUGAAGAUGUCCUUUCCUGUUAUCUCAAAUUUCUUUUCUCUGUCUCUGUCUCUCUCUCUCUGUCUCUCUGUCUCUGUCUCUGUCUCUGUCUCUCUCUCUCUCUCUUGGUUUUUUUUUUGAGACAGGGUUUUUCUGUGUAGCCUGGAACUCACUCUGUAGAUCAGGCUGGCCUCGAACUCACAGAAAUCUUCCUGCCUCUUCCAAGUGCUGGGAUUAAAGUCCUCUGCCACCAUUGCCCAGCUUUUCAAAUUUCUAAGUGUAUCUGUAUUAUUAUUAAUUAUUAUUAUUCUUAAUCUAGGGCUCUAAUGCAUUCUGGAAUUAUCUGGUUUGUUUCUGACAUUGGGCCCCUCUCCAGGCCCGGGACUUUACUACAAGCUCCUAUAGAUCCUGCUCCCCAUAAUUGAUACAUGCUCCAAGGACAGCCCUCCUACUCCAACCCAGGCAGCAGCCCCCCUCCACCCCUGGGACACUUAGGGGGCACUUAGGACACGCCAGGUAGAUGCUCUGUUACCUGGGCCCUCCAGGGAGCAGGCUCUGGGAUGCCGGCAAGAGUGCAAGGCUUAUGGAAGUGAGGCAUGGGGCCUAGGUAACAAGCACUGGUGAGAUUGGCUUCCGCUGUAGGAACUGUGGAGUCCCGGCGAACAGGAGCAGUAAUGGAAAGAAAGAGCUUCCAGGAGCCAACCGGCAGGCUCACCCUCAGGGACCUUUAUGACAACCUACCUAAGGAAGAAGUCUCACGGUUUUUCUUUUUGAUUUUUAAAGACGUGAUUUUUUUUUAAACCCAUCUUAUCCUCAAACUUAGUCCUCCUGUCUUCUCCUCCCCAAACACGAAGACCACAGAUGCGCUGGAUCUCCUCGGAGCUUGGGUAAAGAUGGUGGUGGGUUCCAACACUGGGGAUUGAACUCAGGGGCUCGUUGCGUCCUAGGCAAGUGUUCUGUCACCGACCUCUACCGCAGCCCGUAUAGUUUUUCAAAAGAAGGUAUGUAGGUAUCAGACAGUCAUUUCAAUUAUGCAGUGUUUGUUUAAAAAAAAAAUUGCCUUCUGGAAUGUGGCGGCGCUCCAUCCUAUGCUCAUGGUGGUGAGAGCUGUGGACCAGUGGAUCUAAAGAAGACAUAACUCCCUUGUUCGGAGGUAAAGGCAAGAGGAUCAGAAGUCCAAGGUCCUCCUCAGCUUCACAGUGGACAUUAGAGCUGCCUGGGCCACAUAAAAUCCUGUUAAGAAAAAAACCCAAAAAACUAAAGCCGGGCGGUGGUGGCGCACGCCUUUGAUCCCAGCACUCGGGAGGCAGAGCCAGGCGGAUCUCUGUGAGUUCGAGGCCAGCCUGGGCUACAGCUCGAGAUCCAGGACAGGCACCGAAACUACACAGAGAAACCCUGUCUCGAAAACAAAAACAAAAAAACAAAAGAAAGAAAAAAAACUAAGAGCGAAAGAAUGGAGAGAAAGAAAAGGGACAAAACAACAACAACAAAACAACCAACCAAAGCGUCCGGUUGGUUAAAGUGACUGGUAUACAGAUUUUGCUGUGGUCAGCAUCUCUGGCAAGCACUUUUCCAGACUCUAGCAACCACACACUACUUUCUGCCUAAAUGGCUUGCCUAUUCUGGAUGUUGUGUGUCAAUGGAAUCUCACACUCUCUGCUGUUACUUUGUUUAGCAGAAACACGACCACUCGGGUGGCUGUCUCUGAGGUGUCCCCAAAGUGUCCAAUGAAAGAAUGAUGUGCAAGCCAUCUGCACCAGAGGAAAGUCAGUGUUCUUCUGCCUGAGUCAGAACAAAAACACCAUCCGGGAGGAUGGCAUGGAGACCCCAGCAGGCAGCACAGGGCAGACUCUGGAUACCCUCCUCACCCCCACCCCCCACAACCUUUGUCAAGAUGCAGCCAGACCAGGACUGCCACCAUACUCUCCAUGAUGCAGCCUACAAGAUUAAGGACAACAAGAAGGAGGACUUGGUGUUCACCUUCUGGGCCCCUGAGAAUGUACCCCUUGAGACCAUCAAGGCAGGUCCAAGGAUGCUAUCAACGAGAACCUGGGGGAGUCUGGAGAGGCGGUACAGCAGGUAAGAGCAGGCACUCUUCUUGCAGAGGACCCAGGUCAGGUUCCCGGCACUCACAUCUGGCGGCUCACAACUACCUCUAACUCCUGGUCCAGGGCAUCGGAAGCCUCUGUCCUCCAGGGGCAUCUGCUCAUGUGCACAUACUCACACACAGACACACAGGAACAUAUAAUUAAAAAUAAAGGGCUAGGGAGAUGGCUCAGGGGUUAGGAGCACAGACUGCUCUUCCAGAGGACCGGGGGUUCAAUUCCCAGCACCUACAUGGCAGCUCACAACUGUCUGUAACUCUCA
Peromyscus californicus insignis is the source of this 2529-nucleotide long non-coding RNA. RefSeq lists it as uncharacterized. The transcript is spliced from 3 exons. The record is from RefSeq and is a predicted model, not a curated record. Lineage: Eukaryota; Metazoa; Chordata; Mammalia; Rodentia; Cricetidae.